UCUAAGUGAGAUUCAUUCAUUUUAAAUUAUACAGUCGAGAAUGCUUCUACCUCUAUCUUCCAUAAAAUCUUAUUUAAUGAUUAGUACCAAUGGAAAUCAUGCCUAUGAUCACCAAAUAAACUCAUACCAUGUGAUGUGAUGAUCUUUAUCCUUAGAAUUCAUGUACAAGGUCAUCUCUAUGUCAAUUCUUAUUAUCUCACUCUUCGUGCUAACACGAUUCACUUGGCGACAUCAUGAAUGCUC
RNAcentral lists this long non-coding RNA (243 nucleotides) under Capsicum annuum. Its description in RNAcentral is "long non-coding RNA (CANN_LNC018977)". The record is from RNAcentral. Lineage: Eukaryota; Viridiplantae; Streptophyta; Magnoliopsida; Solanales; Solanaceae.